AUGUGGGCGUGCCGAUCGUUUCUCCGUCGACCCAACCCCCUGAGCAUCCCUCGUACCCUCCGACCAGCUAUCCACCGUCAGGACGCAAACCAGAGGACGACGGUUCAUGGCAAGAACCAUCUGACCGCAUCACCACGGAGGCACGUCUCGGACGCCGCCAACAGGGAUCCGCAUCACCCGGCCGCGGCGACGACGACGACGAGGCGGCAUCUGUACGUGGUGCUGGAUGACCACAAGCACGAGUACGGCAUCUACAAGCUGGACGUCGGCGGCGAUCUGGACGGCGACCACGACGUCGGCUCCGACCCUGACUCUGCCCGCCGUCUUCCCGAUCCCGCCGUCAUCCGCGUGGAAGUGCCAACCGCCAUAGAAGAUCUAGCCGCACGGUUCGCCGCCCUGGGCAGCUGCAUCAUCACCACGGGCUCCAGCCCAAACACUUACGGCCUAAGGGAAGAGCACUACGGCGUCACCUUGGUCUACGACACCGACACGGCGGCGCUCUCGGUCGCGUGCAACGUCCCCAAAGGCCUGCGCGACGGCUUCCGCGAGGCCGUGGCCGCCGGGGGCAGGCUGUACGCGUUCGAGGACGUGACGGAGCUGCACGACGAACGCGGCUGGGAGAUCGAGCCCCUUCGGCCCUGCCCGGGAGGCAUGCACUGCAUGACCACGGACCGCGGCAGGGACGCCGACGAGAGCCGGUGGUGCUGGCUGCCUUUCUCCGGCUCCUCGCGGUGCUUCUGGAGCGCCGACCCUGAGUCGCCCCCCUUCUUCCCCGAGGCGAUGGUGGCGCACGCGGAGGCCGGGCGCGCCAUCUUCGUGUCCGCAAGCGCGUUUCACAACGACGUCCGGACCUUCUCCUACGACACGGCGAGAGACGACUGGACGCGCUGCGGCGGCUGGGCGUUGCCGUUCGUAGGCCGCGCCGGCUACGACGCCGAGCUGGACGCCUGGGUCGGGCUCCACCGUAAGGGCUACGACACGGACGGGCACCUCUGUGUCUGCCGCGUUCCAGUUCCGACGAGCGACCUCGACCGGACCCCGCAACCGCAGUGGAAGAUCGGCGGGGAGAAGGUGAUCCUCGAGCACCCGGACUGGAGGCACGUCGACGCCAAGCUCGUGCACAUGGCCGAGCGCGGCCAGCACUGCCUCGUCGAGCGCCUGCGACGCGAGGGGACCGACGAGAAGGAGAGCCUGCCCGACGGCGACGAGUGUCUGCUAGUGGUGACCACGUUUCAAGUCAAGUACGGCGACGACGGGGAGCUCGUCACGAGCGCGGACCGCCGGUACGCCCGCACUUACAAGGUGUCGCGGUACCGUGAUGACUUUGAGGUUGCAGCCUUCUGGAUAUGA
This 1350-nucleotide ribosomal RNA is filed under the name Triticum aestivum (bread wheat). RNAcentral's name for it is "partial small subunit ribosomal RNA". The record is from RNAcentral. Lineage: Eukaryota; Viridiplantae; Streptophyta; Magnoliopsida; Poales; Poaceae.